GGAGGAUGAAGGUCCUCUGGAUUGUAAACUUCUUUUAUUUGGGAAGAAACCCACGAUUUCUAUUGUGGUUGACGGUACCAGAUGAAUAAGCACCGGCUAACUCCGUGCCAGCAGCCGCGGUAAUACGGAGGGUGCAAGCGUUAUCCGGAUUCACUGGGUUUAAAGGGUGCGUAGGCGGGUAGGUAAGUCAGUGGUGAAAUCUCCGGGCUUAACCCGGAAACUGCCGUUGAUACUAUCUGUCUUGAAUAUAGUGGAGGUGAGCGGAAUAUGUCAUGUAGCGGUGAAAUGCUUAGAUAUGACAUAGAACACCUAUUGCGAAGGCAGCUCACUACACUAUCAUUGACGCUGAGGCACGAAAGCGUGGGGAUCAAACAGGAUUAGAUACCCUGGUAGUCCACGCCCUAAACGAUGAUUACUCGACAUCAGCGAUACACUGUUGGUGUCUGAGCGAAAGCAUUAAGUAAUCCACCUGGGAAGUACGACCGCAAGGUUGAAACUCAAAGGAAUUGACGG
This 513-nucleotide ribosomal RNA is filed under the name uncultured Sphingobacteriales bacterium. Its description in RNAcentral is "bacterial SSU rRNA". It matches the Rfam family "Bacterial small subunit ribosomal RNA", at positions 401 to 916 of the family's 1533-position model. Lineage: Bacteria; Pseudomonadati; Bacteroidota; Sphingobacteriia; Sphingobacteriales. The record is from RNAcentral.